Theobroma umbraticum is the source of this 423-nucleotide non-coding RNA. NCBI's taxonomy places the organism in Eukaryota, Viridiplantae, Streptophyta, Magnoliopsida, Malvales, Malvaceae. The record is from RefSeq and is a predicted model, not a curated record.
AAAAACAUUACACAGAUAUGUAGCGUACGUUGAGGAAAUCCUCUUGGCUCAUACUAUGCCAUAUGCAUGAAGCUGCAAAUUCUUGCAGUGGAUGAAGGAGUUUCCAGUUCGGUCUCUAAGGACAUUAAUGCCAUUUCAACGCCAGUCUGCAAACUGUAGCUGGUACACUGCCUGCUAAGCUGGAAAGCCUCUAAACCAAGAAACACAGAGCUCUUUCUAUUUCAAUCGUUUAAGGGUGGUGAAACUGAAAGGAAGAAUAUAGACAACAUGCCGAGACUUUAAUAGCUAAUUAGGUAUCUCAAAAUCAUUAUAACUAAGAAUUUUAUAACCAAAAAUGUCGAACAAUCAAAUUUUCAUGGCUCCUUACUUUUUAUUUCCCUUUCACGUUCAAAGCAUCAACCAUGUCAUUCAUUUUCCUGGUUU